This 2482-nucleotide ribosomal RNA is filed under the name Salmonella enterica. RNAcentral describes it as "partial 23S ribosomal RNA". It matches the Rfam family "Bacterial large subunit ribosomal RNA", at positions 552 to 2925 of the family's 2925-position model. The record is from RNAcentral. Lineage: Bacteria; Pseudomonadati; Pseudomonadota; Gammaproteobacteria; Enterobacterales; Enterobacteriaceae.
GAAACCGUGUACGUACAAGCAGUGGGAGCACCCUUCGGGGUGUGACUGCGUACCUUUUGUAUAAUGGGUCAGCGACUUAUAUUCUGUAGCAAGGUUAACCGUAUAGGGGAGCCGGAGGGAAACCGAGUCUUAAUUGGGCGUUAAGUUGCAGGGUAUAGACCCGAAACCCGGUGAUCUAGCCAUGGGCAGGUUGAAGGUUGGGUAACACUAACUGGAGGACCGAACCGACUAAUGUUGAAAAAUUAGCGGAUGACCUGUGGCUGGGGGUGAAAGGCCAAUCAAACCGGGAGAUAGCUGGUUCUCCCCGAAAGCUAUUUAGGUAGCGCCUCGUGAAUUCAUCUCCGGGGGUAGAGCACUGUUUCGGCUAGGGGGCCAUCCCGGCUUACCAACCCGAUGCAAACUGCGAAUACCGGAGAAUGUUAUCACGGGAGACACACGGCGGGUGCUAACGUCCGUCGUGAAGAGGGAAACAACCCAGACCGCCAGCUAAGGUCCCAAAGUCAUGGUUAAGUGGGAAACGAUGUGGGAAGGCCCAGACAGCCAGGAUGUUGGCUUAGAAGCAGCCAUCAUUUAAAGAAAGCGUAAUAGCUCACUGGUCGAGUCGGCCUGCGCGGAAGAUGUAACGGGGCUAAACCAUGCACCGAAGCUGCGGCAGCGAACGUAUCACCCAAGACAACUUUACGGAGUUGACGAUUGACGGAGCGAAGCGACGUCAAAGCGUUCAUUAAAGUCGAGUUGGCUUAGGGAUACGUUCGUUGGGUAGGGGAGCGUUCUGUAAGCCUGUGAAGGUGUGUCGUGAGGCAUGCUGGAGGUAUCAGAAGUGCGAAUGCUGACAUAAGUAACGAUAAAGCGGGUGAAAAGCCCGCUCGCCGGAAGACCAAGGGUUCCUGUCCAACGUUAAUCGGGGCAGGGUGAGUCGACCCCUAAGGCGAGGCCGAAAGGCGUAGUCGAUGGGAAACGGGUUAAUAUUCCCGUACUUGGUGUUACUGCGAAGGGGGGACGGAGAAGGCUAUGUUGGCCGGGCGACGGUUGUCCCGGUUUAAGCGUGUAGGUGUGUGUUCCAGGUAAAUCCGGUUCACUUUAACACUGAGGCGUGACGACGAGGCACUACGGUGCUGAAGCAACAAAUGCCCUGCUUCCAGGAAAAGCCUCUAAGCAUCAGGUAACACGAAAUCGUACCCCAAACCGACACAGGUGGUCAGGUAGAGAAUACCAAGGCGCUUGAGAGAACUCGGGUGAAGGAACUAGGCAAAAUGGUGCCGUAACUUCGGGAGAAGGCACGCUGACACGUAGGUGAAGUGAUUUACUCAUGGAGCUGAAGUCAGUCGAAGAUACCAGCUGGCUGCAACUGUUUAUUAAAAACACAGCACUGUGCAAACACGAAAGUGGACGUAUACGGUGUGACGCCUGCCCGGUGCCGGAAGGUUAAUUGAUGGGGUCAGCGUAAGCGAAGCUCCUGAUCGAAGCCCCGGUAAACGGCGGCCGUAACUAUAACGGUCCUAAGGUAGCGAAAUUCCUUGUCGGGUAAGUUCCGACCUGCACGAAUGGCGUAAUGAUGGCCAGGCUGUCUCCACCCGAGACUCAGUGAAAUUGAACUCGCUGUGAAGAUGCAGUGUACCCGCGGCAAGACGGAAAGACCCCGUGAACCUUUACUAUAGCUUGACACUGAACAUUGAGCCUUGAUGUGUAGGAUAGGUGGGAGGCUUUGAAGUGUGGACGCCAGUCUGCAUGGAGCCGACCUUGAAAUACCACCCUUUAAUGUUUGAUGUUCUAACGUGGACCCGUAAUCCGGGUUGCGGACAGUGUCUGGUGGGUAGUUUGACUGGGGCGGUCUCCUCCUAAAGAGUAACGGAGGAGCACGAAGGUUGGCUAAUCCUGGUCGGACAUCAGGAGGUUAGUGCAAUGGCAUAAGCCAGCUUGACUGCGAGCGUGACGGCGCGAGCAGGUGCGAAAGCAGGUCAUAGUGAUCCGGUGGUUCUGAAUGGAAGGGCCAUCGCUCAACGGAUAAAAGGUACUCCGGGGAUAACAGGCUGAUACCGCCCAAGAGUUCAUAUCGACGGCGGUGUUUGGCACCUCGAUGUCGGCUCAUCACAUCCUGGGGCUGAAGUAGGUCCCAAGGGUAUGGCUGUUCGCCAUUUAAAGUGGUACGCGAGCUGGGUUUAGAACGUCGUGAGACAGUUCGGUCCCUAUCUGCCGUGGGCGCUGGAGAACUGAGGGGGGCUGCUCCUAGUACGAGAGGACCGGAGUGGACGCAUCACUGGUGUUCGGGUUGUCAUGCCAAUGGCACUGCCCGGUAGCUAAAUGCGGAAGAGAUAAGUGCUGAAAGCAUCUAAGCACGAAACUUGCCCCGAGAUGAGUUCUCCCUGAGACUUAGAGUCUCCUGAAGGAACGUUGAAGACGACGACGUUGAUAGGCCGGGUGUGUAAGCGCAGCGAUGCGUUGAGCUAACCGGUACUAAUGAACCGUGAGGCUUAACCUUACA